AAGUCGUAACAAGGUCUCCGUAGGUGAACCUGCGGAGGGAUCAUUAACAACGUAUCCAACACGUCAAACCAAAACAAUCGUGCUCCUUAUUUCUCCCACACUGGGUUGGGGUAAAUGCAAGCCAUGGGAUAGAUUCAAGUGCUUCGGUACUUGUCUGCUUGCAGUGCCAUUCGGUGCAAACCGAACCAAUUUGGUAGUGGUGUAUUCAAUGCUAUCUUGGUUAUCAGUGCCACCCCGGUUUCGACCCGGAGCCUGGUAGCCGUACUAAUCCUCUAUUUUUAACCCCUUUCAUUUUAUUAUUACUGAUUGUAAUCACUUUCUUAACUGAAUGGUGAUGAUAUACGAAAUGUGAACAACUCUUAGCAACGGAUAUCUUGGUUCUCGUACCGAUGAAGAACGCAG
Molecule: unclassified non-coding RNA, 402 nt
Filed under: fungal sp.
Lineage: Eukaryota; Fungi
Description: partial internal transcribed spacer region
Rfam family: Eukaryotic small subunit ribosomal RNA (bases 1-46)
Source: RNAcentral